Molecule: ribosomal RNA, 292 nt
Filed under: uncultured bacterium
Lineage: Bacteria
Description: partial 16S ribosomal RNA
Rfam family: Bacterial small subunit ribosomal RNA
Source: RNAcentral
GAUUCCUACGGGGGGCAGCAGUAGGGAAUCUUCCACAAUGGGCGAAAGCCUGAUGGAGCAACGCCGCGUGGGUGAAGAAGGUCUUCGGAUCGUAAAACCCUGUUGUUAGAGAAGAAAGUGCGUGAGAGUAACUGUUCACGUUUCGACGGUAUCUAACCAGAAAGCCACGGCUAACUACGUGCCAGCAGCUGCGGUAAUACGUAGGUGGCAAGCGUUAUCCGGAUUUAUUGGGCGUAAAGGGAACGCAGGCGGUCUUUUAAGUCAGCGGUCAAAGCCCGGGGCUCACCCCCGG